RNAcentral lists this unclassified non-coding RNA (391 nucleotides) under soil metagenome. RNAcentral's name for it is "partial contains 5.8S ribosomal RNA, internal transcribed spacer 2, and large subunit ribosomal RNA". The stretch from base 1 to 122 matches the Rfam family "5.8S ribosomal RNA", at positions 35 to 154 of the family's 154-position model. The record is from RNAcentral.
GAUGAAGAACGUAGCGAAAUGCGAUACUUGGUGUGAAUUGCAGAAUCCCGUGAACCAUCGAGUCUUUGAACGCAAGUUGCGCCCGAAGCCAUUAGGCCGAGGGCACGCCUGCCUGGGCGUCACACGUCGUUGCCCCCCCAUCUACUCCUUCGGGAUUGCGGGGGGCGGAUGAUGGCCUCCCGUGCGCCUCGUCGCGCGGUUGGCCUAAAUGCCAAGUCCUCGGCGACGCACGCCACGACAAUCGGUGGUUGCGAAACCUCGGUUGCCCGUCGUGUGCGGUCGUCGCGCAUCGAGGGCUCGAAAAAAGUGCCGGGCUUCGGCUCGACUUUCAACGCGACCCCAGGUCAGGCGGGGUUACCCGCUGAAUUUAAGCAUAUCAAUAAGCGGAGGA